This 479-nucleotide ribosomal RNA is filed under the name uncultured bacterium. RNAcentral describes it as "partial 16S ribosomal RNA". It matches the Rfam family "Bacterial small subunit ribosomal RNA", at positions 28 to 507 of the family's 1533-position model. The record is from RNAcentral.
GAUGAACGCUGGCGGCGUGCUUAACACAUGCAAGUCGAGCGAGAAGUUUUGAAAAGAUUCUUCGGAUGAAAUUUAAAAUGGAAAGCGGCGGACGGGUGAGUAACGCGUAGGCAACCUGCCCCAUACAAAGGGAUAGCAUUUGGAAACGAAUAUUAAUACCUUAUGAAACUUAACUAGUGCAUGCUAGGUAGGUCAAAGAUUUAUCGGUAUGGGAUGGGCCUGCGUCUGAUUAGCUAGUUGGUGAGGUAACGGCUCACCAAGGCGACGAUCAGUAGCCGACCUGAGAGGGUGAGCGGCCACAUUGGAACUGAGACACGGUCCAAACUCCUACGGGAGGCAGCAGUGGGGAAUAUUGCACAAUGGGGGAAACCCUGAUGCAGCAACGCCGCGUGAACGAUGAAGGCCUUUGGGUCGUAAAGUUCUGUUCUAGGUGAUGAAAACUGACAGUAACCUAGGAGAAAGCCCCGGCUAACUCCGUG